Molecule: ribosomal RNA, 429 nt
Filed under: Acidobacteriota bacterium
Lineage: Bacteria; Pseudomonadati; Acidobacteriota
Description: Acidobacteria bacterium partial 16S ribosomal RNA
Rfam family: Bacterial small subunit ribosomal RNA
Source: RNAcentral
UGGGGAAUUUUGGACAAUGGGGGAAACCCUGAUCCAGCCAUCCCGCGUGUUCGAUGAAGGCCUUAGGGUUGUAAAGCACUUUUGGCAGGAAAGAAACGUCAUGGGUUAAUACCCCGUGACACUGACGGUACCUGCAGAAUAAGCACCGGCUAACUACGUGCCAGCAGCCGCGGUAAUACGUAGAGUGCAAGCGUUAAUCGGAAUUACUGGGCGUAAAGCGUGCGCAGGCGGUUCGGAAAGAAAGAUGUGAAAUCCCAGAGCUCAACUUUGGAACUGCAUUUUUAACUACCGGGCUAGAGUGUGUCAGAGGGAGGUGGAAUUCCGCGUGUAGCAGUGAAAUGCGUAGAUAUGCGGAGGAACACCGAUGGCGAAGGCAGCCUCCUGGGAUAACACUGACGCUCAUGCACGAAAGCGUGGGGAGCAAACAGG